AGCGGCAACAGCUCAAAUUUGAAAUCUGGCUCUUUUAGAGUCCGAGUUGUAAUUUGCAGAGGGCGCUUUGGCUUUGGCAGCGGUCCAAGUUCCUUGGAACAGGACGUCACAGAGGGUGAGAAUCCCGUACGUGGUCGCUGGCUAUUGCCGUGUAAAGCCCCUUCGACGAGUCGAGUUGUUUGGGAAUGCAGCUCUAAAUGGGAGGUACAUUUCUUCUAAAGCUAAAUAUUGGCCAGAGACCGAUAGCGCACAAGUAGAGUGAUCGAAAGAUGAAAAGCACUUUGGAAAGAGAGUCAAACAGCACGUGAAAUUGUUGAAAGGGAAGCGCUUGCAGCCAGACUUGCUUACAGUUGCUCAUCCGGGUUUCUACCCGGUGCACUCUUCUGUAGGCAGGCCAGCAUCAGUUUGGGCGGUAGGAUAAAGGUCUCUGUCACGUACCUCCUUUCGGGGAGGCCUUAUAGGGGAGACGACAUACUACCAGCCUGGACUGAGGUCC
RNAcentral lists this unclassified non-coding RNA (496 nucleotides) under Alternaria alternata. Its description in RNAcentral is "sequence contains 28S rRNA gene". It matches the Rfam family "Eukaryotic large subunit ribosomal RNA", at positions 97 to 597 of the family's 3401-position model. The record is from RNAcentral. Lineage: Eukaryota; Fungi; Ascomycota; Dothideomycetes; Pleosporales; Pleosporaceae.